RNAcentral lists this ribosomal RNA (427 nucleotides) under uncultured bacterium. Its description in RNAcentral is "partial 16S ribosomal RNA". It matches the Rfam family "Bacterial small subunit ribosomal RNA", at positions 355 to 774 of the family's 1533-position model. The record is from RNAcentral.
UGGGGAAUAUUGCACAAUGGGCGCAAGCCUGAUGCAGCCAUGCCGCGUGUAUGAAGAAGGCCUUCGGGUUGUAAAGUACUUUCAGCGGGGAGGAAGGCGAUGUGGUUAAUAACCGCGUCGAUUGACGUUACCCGCAGAAGAAGCACCGGCUAACUCCGUGCCAGCAGCCGCGGUAAUACGGAGGGUGCAAGCGUUAAUCGGAAUUACUGGGCGUAACUCGCACGCAGGCGGUCUGUCAAGUCGGAUGUGAAAUCCCCGGGCUCAACCUGGGAACUGCAUCCGAAACUGGCAGGCUUGAGUCUCGUAGAGGGGGGUAGAAUUCCAGGUGUAGCGGUGAAAUGCGUAGAGAUCUGGAGGAAUACCGGUGGCGAAGGCGGCCCCCUGGACGAAGACUGACGCUCAGGUGCGAAAGCGUGGGGAGCAAACA